CCUACGGGGGGCAGCAGUGGGGAAUAUUGCACAAUGGGCGCAAGCCUGAUGCAGCCAUGCCGCGUGUGUGAAGAAGGCCUUCGGGUUGUAAAGCACUUUCAGCGGGGAGGAAGGCGGUGAGGUUAAUAACCUCAUCGAUUGACGUUACCCGCAGAAGAAGCACCGGCUAACUCCGUGCCAGCAGCCGCGGUAAUACGGAGGGUGCAAGCGUUAAUCGGAAUUACUGGGCGUAAAGCGCACGCAGGCGGUCUGUCAAGUCGGAUGUGAAAUCCCCGGGCUCAACCUGGGAACUGCAUUCGAAACUGGCAGGCUAGAGUCGUGUAGAGGGGGGUAGAAUUCCAGGUGUAGCGGUGAAAUGCGUAGAGAUCUGGAGGAAUACCGGUGGCGAAGGCGGCCCCCUGGACAAAGACUGACGCUCAGGUGCGAAAGCGUGGGGAGCAAACGGGAUUAGAUACCCGUGUAGUC
RNAcentral lists this ribosomal RNA (465 nucleotides) under uncultured Klebsiella sp. RNAcentral's name for it is "bacterial SSU rRNA". It matches the Rfam family "Bacterial small subunit ribosomal RNA", at positions 338 to 795 of the family's 1533-position model. Lineage: Bacteria; Pseudomonadati; Pseudomonadota; Gammaproteobacteria; Enterobacterales; Enterobacteriaceae. The record is from RNAcentral.